CCUGCACCUGCCGGCGACCGGCGCACGGGUGAGUAACACGUAUGGAACCUGCCCGCCACAGGGGGAUAACCCGGGGAAACCCGGCCUAAUACCCCAUGCCGCCCGGACCGGGCAUCCGGACCGGGCGAAAGGAGGAAUCCGGUGGCGGCUGGGCAUGCGGCGCAUUAGCUUGACGGCGGGGUAACGGCCCACCGUGGCGACGAUGCGUAGGGGUUCUGAGAGGAAGGUCCCCCACAUUGGAACUGAGACACGGUCCAAACUCCUACGGAAGGCAGCAG
RNAcentral lists this ribosomal RNA (278 nucleotides) under uncultured bacterium. RNAcentral describes it as "partial 16S ribosomal RNA". It matches the Rfam family "Bacterial small subunit ribosomal RNA", at positions 74 to 354 of the family's 1533-position model. The record is from RNAcentral.